AGUGUAUCACAAUUUGAGGAGAACAGACAUUGUCCGAUGGGUAACACAGGGAGAAGAUAGAUCCUGCAUUCGGGAAAUGGAGAGAGCGGAAACCAGAGUAAAACUAGAAGAUCAUGUCCAUGUUUGGUUUGGCAAACCCACAGAGAUUGUGUAACUGAAACAAAUAGCUUCACGCUCUGAUUUCCUGGAAUGUCCUAUUCCACCUCCUCUACCCAGAAGCCUCAUUACGAGGAGAGCAGGACAAACCUGAUGAGCUUGCAAUUACCGAC
Molecule: non-coding RNA, 269 nt
Organism: Pelobates cultripes (western spadefoot toad)
Lineage: Eukaryota; Metazoa; Chordata; Amphibia; Anura; Pelobatidae
Source: the annotation of a GenBank genome assembly